This 186-nucleotide ribosomal RNA is filed under the name uncultured bacterium. RNAcentral's name for it is "partial 16S ribosomal RNA". It matches the Rfam family "Bacterial small subunit ribosomal RNA", at positions 707 to 895 of the family's 1533-position model. The record is from RNAcentral.
UACCGGUGGCGAAGGCGGGUUUCUGGUCGAUGAUUGACGCCGAGAUACGAAAGUGUGGGGAGCAAACAGGAUUAGAUGCCCUGGUAGUCCACACCAUAAACGAUGUACACUAGGUGUUGGGGCAAGAGCUUCAGUGCCGAAGCAAACGUGAUAAGUGUACCGCCUGGGGAGUAUGCCGGCAACGGU